AUCGUUUCUCGGCCUUUUGGCUAAGAUCAAGUGUAGUAUCUGUUCUUGUCACUGUCCCUCUCCUCCCGUUGUUCAUUAAUUUGCUCAAGUGGGCCCAGUAAUGUCUCCAUUGUGAGACUUGUUGUUACUGUGUUUGGCAUAUCGAAUACGUCACAGCUAGCUUGCCAGGCUUUGCCGCGCAGGCGAGAUAUUUU
Molecule: small nuclear RNA, 194 nt
Organism: Sorex fumeus (smoky shrew)
Lineage: Eukaryota; Metazoa; Chordata; Mammalia; Eulipotyphla; Soricidae
Product: U2 spliceosomal RNA
Exons: 1
Source: RefSeq, a predicted model, not a curated record